GUGGGCAAGAUGGCCGCCGGUGAGAGUCGCACACCGCCGUCGCUGGCCGGGACUUAGCAAAGUAAGGAUUCCCGGAAUGACUACAGGUCACCCUGGAGGAAGGCACACCAGAGAUAAGAAGCCGCUCCAAUAAGUAUCUCCUGUUCCGCGUGGCUAGCCCAGAGCCCCACCUCACGGCAGAGGCUUACUUCUCAGCUGAUGGCGAGGCCCUGCGGGAGCCAGUUAGAAAAAUGUGCCCCUUGUCACUCAUGCCGACCCACCGUAGCCAGUCAGGGCCGCCCCGCCUGGGGGUCAAAUCAGAGCUACAGCUCCCAGCCUCUGCCACAGCCAAAGCAACUCAGGAUUCAAGCCACAUCUGUGGCCUAUACCACAGCUCACAGUACUGCCGGAUCCUUAACCCACUGAGCGAGGCCAGGGCUCGAACCUGUGUCCUCGUGCAUACUAGUCGAGUUCGUUACUCCUGAGCUUGCCUGAACAUGCCUGAAUAUUUUAACAUGAGCUCAUAGGAGUCCAGAUAACGCAUCACUGCAAAACACCUCAUGGUGCCCAUCUUAGGGAAAAACCACCCACCUCCACAGCCCCUAACUAAGGAAAAGAAGGACCAGACCUGCUUUCUAGAAGAAAUCUGAACUAGGACAUCAAGAUCUAGAUUAGAAUGAAGAGUCCUGAAAAAUCACGAUAGUCGUGUGAACAAACCAGUCUGAUAGGAGCUACUGCAUGGCUAGCUCUUCUUUUCAGUAUGUUGCUGAGUGGGAGGGAAGCUUCGAGAAGGCAGGGACCUUGUCUCCUAAUGUCCCUGGCCCUCCAGUGUGUUAAGAAAGUGCUCGAUUCACAGGGAAGCUCCGUUGUCCUCACAGAUGGAGAGCUGCCCUUAGUGAGGACAUUAACCAGGUUAAGAGCCAGCCUUUACAGAAGAGUGAGGUCAAAGCCAGAGGAGGGAGCAGGACUGAAUCCUAGAUGUUUGGCGGAUGCAAACAGCCUCUUCAGGACUGAACUGGAAGGCAAAGGCCGUGGAGAUGCACCUCGCCGCAGCUCGGGCUCAGCCGCAAACUUGGACCUGCCCCAGGGAAACUGAGAAUGUCAAGGCCAGCCAGGUGUGAGGCUGUGCAGAGAGGGAAGACAAGCCGUAGCUGCCCCACCUCGCUCGGCCCCAGCAGAGUUAACCAGUCCCAGCCUGGGAGGGGGGAGAGCAGAAAAAAAAAACCACCACCACCUCCUCUAAAUGAAAAGGUCAACAAAGGCUCGAGACCAGAGGCCCCAGCCCUGCUAGGGAACAGCUCUGCACUCUGCCUUCUCAUUGUGGAAAAAAUACACAACAAGUAGAUUUCUGCACCCGUACGUCACCGAGACGAAAAUAAUGCAGCGGUUGGCUCAUGGAUUUAUCACAAGCAUUUUGCAAGUCUCAUUAUGUGCCAGUAGCUGUGCAACAUGCUGAAGUUGCAAACAUCAAAACCAGAGUCUGAGUUCCUCUUCAGAUCAUCUCUCCCCAGCAGGUGGGCAGGCUCCGUCUCUGCUCCAGCAGGACCACGAGACUCGGCUGGGCACCCACCGGCGAGAGUGUCCCCGGACUGCAGAACACGGAGCCAGGACAAAGCAGGGGAUGGAGCCUAGAGGCAAAGGCAGGAUUUGGGGGUACAGACAGCCCCACGGAAGGAAAGGGAAACCCAGGCAGGAAACAGACACCAGGCAGGAGCAGAAAGACAAAAGCCACAGCUGCCAAAACAGAGUCAGGUGGGUCUGAUGUAGAGUAAAAGACAGCACCUGGAAGGUUCCAGAAGUGACAGGAAAGCACCUUUUUUUAACAAGAUGCCUCUGUCCUCACCGCACUGGGAAGGGGGUUGUUAAAACCACUCCCACUGGUUCAGGAUCGCUCAAGGCCCCAGUUGGAAUAUUCCAGCAAAUCUAAACUAUAGUCAGUAGUACCAUGACUUGGCGUGCCACUAAGACAGAAAGAAACCUAACAAAUUAGGAUCCACCACUGAUUUUAAAUGUAGACCAGUCUCCGAAAUGUGCAAAUACAAACAGUGGGCAUCAGAGAAUCAAUGAAAUACAGACACUUGGGAGGAAUAGACGAGGGAGAGAGAGGGACACCAUCCGUACAUUCCCAGGAGAGACUGGACGACGGCUUCCUGUUCAGGAUACACCGUGGUAACAUUGGAAUCCUGGUAACCAUGGAGACAGGAAAGCCGGUGAAAAGAAGGGAAGGAUGGAGGGGCACCAGAUCAGCUGUCUCCAAGACAGCAAAUCCAUCAGGAACCCCGGUCAGCGAGUUAGGGACCCUUCGAAACUCGGUCUGCACUGAUCCAGGAACACCUUUCCUCUCGAAUCACAGCCGUCCUCAGGGAGAACUUCGCCACAAACACGUGGAUGCAGCCAAGCAGCGCAUUCGCUGUGUUCGCUUCCCAGAGAGCGGACGAUCAGUGAAGGCUUGUUGACUAAUGAUGUAAUUCACAUGAUGAAGGAUUAAAUGAUGGGGUGGAUCAGGCAGUGAAACAGAGGCAUCUGCCUUUGAGCUCAGGGGCUGAGAGAGCGCUCAGGAGCAAUGCCUCAGCCUUCUUCAUCUGUGAACAACUGAUUAUAGGUGGGAAUUAAAGAUUAGGUAAUUUAGGAAAUAAAAA
RNAcentral lists this long non-coding RNA (2618 nucleotides) under Sus scrofa (pig). RNAcentral's name for it is "lncRNA (ENSSSCG00015011177.1)". Lineage: Eukaryota; Metazoa; Chordata; Mammalia; Artiodactyla; Suidae. The record is from RNAcentral.